This 4026-nucleotide long non-coding RNA is filed under the name Mytilus galloprovincialis (Mediterranean mussel). Lineage: Eukaryota; Metazoa; Mollusca; Bivalvia; Mytilida; Mytilidae. The record is from RNAcentral.
UGUAUUUAUAGAUUUUUAAAGAUGCCAAGAAGAAAAAAUUGGAGGGCAGCAGAGGCUAAACGUGGUGUGAAAAACCCAAAGAAAAAGACACUGACGGACUUGACUGGGGAUACUGGCCCCAUAAACAGUACUAGAAUUGACCUUGACAUGGGUGAUACUGACACCCUCAACAACAGUAUCUCAAAUAACAUGGGGGAUACUGACCUCCACACAAAUAUAAACAACAGUAACUCAAAUAACAUGGGGGAUACUGACCUCCACACAAAUAUAAACAACAGUAACUCAAAUAACAUGGGGGAUACUGACCUCCACACAAAUAUAAACAACAGUAACUUGAAACUACUUGAAAAAUCUGAAUUGAAUAAACUUGAAAUAUCUGAACUGAAUAUACUUGAAAUAUCUGAAUUGAAUGAACUUGAAAUAUCUGAAUUAGAUAAACUUGAACUAUCUGAGUUGAAUCAAAACAGUAACAAUAACUGUGCAAAAGAAUUGAAUCAAAACAGUAACAAUAACUGUGCAAAAGAAUUGAAUCAAAACAGUAACAAUAACUGUGCAAAAGAAACUUGUAUUAUACAAACACAAUAUUUUCUGUCAAAUGAAUCAAACAAUAGUUAUGCAAAAACAGAUUCUCAUAGUAAUAUCCAAACUGAUCUGUUGCAAAACCAAAAUGAACAAUAUGAAAAUAAUUCAGAAGAAGAGCUAUCAAAAUAUGUCAAUUCUUUUAAUGCAAACUUUCUUAAAUUUGGAACUUUUGACCAGUAUGCCACAAAAUUUGCUGAUCAAAGCAGGGGAAACCAAUGUACUUGUAAUUGCUUAGUUUUCUUAUCACUUUCUUCUUUAAAUUUUGAUUCAAACACACUGAACCUGGAUUACAUUUUAAAUAAAGGAGAUGAAAUUUACAGGAAGCAUGUUCAAGAAUUAACAACACAGGGAUUAUUUAAAAAUAUGCUUUUGAAUUUUGAUGAAAUUCCUGUCAAAAUUGAAAUUCCUGAAGGGAUUUUUAUAAUUAACAAACAAAAUAUUCUGUUUGGUAUAGCUUUACAGUACCAAGAGUUGACUGGAUUUCUCUCAUUACAAGAAGCAAUUCAAAAUUGUAUUAAGCAGUCAAACAAAUUUCUUAUAAUGAUUGGAGCCAUAUGUUCGGCAGUUUAUUAUUAUAAUCAUAUAUAUACUAUUUUUUUGACACUCAUUCUCAUUCAGAAUGUACACUGAAUAAUCCAUUAGAUUCCUCUGGCAAAAGUAUUUUGAUUGGAUUUGCUGACUUACAUGACCUCCUCAGUUACUUGUAUGCUUUUUACACAAGUUUACAAAUUGAUUUAGACUCUCAAUUUGAAAUUUUACCUGUAUGUAUCAGUAGUAAAGAUACUGACAAAGAUGUGACCAAGCAGAUUAAGAAUUAUUUCGAUGAUCAGAAACUAAGGAACACAAAACAAACAAAAAAGUCUAACCAGUAUAUGAAAGGUACCAAAAUUUGUAUAUAUGAAAAACUACAUGCAAAAUAGAAGAAAAAAAUAAAAAAAUUCAAGGAAAAAGAAUUAAAUCAAAAAGAUAUUCAAGAAAGGAACAAAUUAUAAAGACGAGAAACGAAUAGAAAAAAGAUCUAGGAGAGAAAAUUCCGAUAUAAGACAGAUAGAUAGACAAAGGCAACUUGCUGCUAAAAGAGAGGCUAGAAAGAAUGAAGAUUUUAAUAAAAAAGAACUUGCUGCUAAAAGAGAAGUGAGAAAGGAUACAAAUUAUAGAAAGACUGAAGCAGAUAGAAAGAAGUCUCAAAGAGAUAAUUCUGAUAAAAGACAAAUAGAAAGACAAAGAGAACUUGCUGCUAAAAGAGAAGUUAGAAAGGAUAAAAAUUAUAGAAGGGCUGAAGCAGAAGAUAAAGAAGUCUCAAAGAGAUAAUCUUGUAUAAAAGACAAAUAGAGAGACAAAGAGAACUUGCUGCUAAAAGAGAAGUAAGAAAGGAUAAAAUUAUAGAAGGGCUGAAGCAAAAGAAAAAAAAGUCUCAGAGAGAAAAUUUAGAUGUAAGACAGAUAGAAAGACAAAGAGAACUUCUCUGCUAAAAGAGAAGUAAGAAAGGAUACAAAUUAUAGAAGGGCUGAAGCAGAAAGUAAAGAAGUCUCAAAGAGAUAAUUCUGAUAUAAGACAAAUAGAAAGACAAAGAGAACUUGCUGCUAAAAGAGAAGUAAGAAAGGAUACAAAUUAUAGAAAGACUGAAGCAAAUAGAAAGAAGUCUCAGAGAGAAAAUUCAGAUGUAAGACAGAUAGAAAGACAAAGAGAACUUGCUGCUAAAAGAGAACUUAGAAAGAAAGAAAAUUAUAGAAGAGCUGAAGCAGACAUUAAGAAGUCUCAAAGAGACAAUUCUGAUAAAAGACAAAUAGAGAGACAAAGAGAAAUUGCUGCUAAAAGAGAAGCUAGAAAGAAUGAUGUUUUCAAAAGAAAUGAAACAGAAAAGAAAAAAAUUGCCAGACAAGAUGAAGACUACAGAAAACAUGAGUCCGAACGGGACUACCACAGAAAAAAAGAAUAUAGGUCACAUCCAGAAAAUUUAGAAAAUGAGCGUUUGAAGAAACAGAGUUCUAGACAGAACAAACUAGAUAUAGACAGAUGUUAUGAUAAAACAGUUAAAAGUACUAAAAGAAAAAACAUUGAUUUCACAGAUCAUGAAAAAAACCUAAAAAAGAAAAGAGUUCAAGGUAUAACCCUUGAUGCUUGCAUAAGAAAUUUUAAAACAAAAAUUAAUGAUGGUCCUACAUAUAUAUGUACUUCAUGUCAACAAACUUGGUUUUGUGAUUCUGUAGUUAAUUCUAAAACUGUCAAAAUGACCACUCCUGCUAACAUGUCUCAUUGCUUUACUAAUUUUAAAUCUGUACAAGACAUAGAAUGGAUAUGUCAUACUUGUCUCAAUGCAAUUAAAAAACAAAGAAUUCCUCGAUUUUCAAUAGCCAAAUAAAAUGGGAUUUCCCCAAAAACCAAAAGAACUUAAAUUUGUAUCCUUUAGAAGAGAGACUGUUAUCAUUAAGAAUUCCUUUUAUGCAGAUUCGACAGUUGCCUAGAGGUGGACAGUUAUCAGUUAAAGGCAAUGUUGUAAAUGUGCCUGUUGAAGUUCAACCUACAAUAAAUUCACUUCCACAUACAUUAGAGAAAUCAGGUACAAUAUCAGUUAAACUGAAGAAGAAGCUGGAAUUCAAAAAGUGUGAUUUUAGUGAAAAUGUGAGACCAUUUGCUGUCAUUUGUGCAUUACAUUAUUUGAUGAGAACAAGUGACUUGUACAAGUCUUCUGGAAUAGAAAUAAAUGAGGAUUGGAUUACAGAAAUUGCCAAAAUAAAUGAAGAAACACAUGAAAAUGAAAACAAUAGUACAGAACAAGAGGAUAACCAAGAUCAGAAUGAUUCAGACGAUGACUCCGAUCAUUUCAGUGAAGUAGAUGAAAGUGAAACACAUGUUGGAAACACAGAUACACUGUUAGAUCACAUUCCAGACGACAAUCCACUAUGUGAUACAGGUUUAACUUUUGCUCCUGGUGAAGGUCAACGACCAAUUAGUCUCUACAGUGAUCCUGAUGCAGAGUACUUAUCUUUUCCAACUAUAUUUUGUGGUCAAAGAAGGCCAGAUAACAAAGACAGGUCUGUUUCUGUUCACUAUACUGAUAUUGUCAAAUGGGAACUAAGGUCCAUGGAUAGGAGAGUAGCACAGUCUGUACCAAACAUUUUUUUUAAGUUAAAGAAAAUUCAGUUAAAAAACAUAAGUGAUAAGGUCAAUCUUGCUCUGAGAAGGUGUCAAUCAGAAGGAAAAAAUGGACAGCAAAAGAUGUACUGAAUCCUAACACUGUAAAUGAUCUUGUAAGAUUAGAUGAAGGUUAUUAUAUCUUUAGAAGUUUAAGAAAUUCUCCAGUAUACCUUGAAAAGAGGAAAAAAGAUUUGUUUGCAAUGAUCAGACAGUUGGGUCUUCCAACAUGGUUUGGCUCUCUUUCAUCUGCAGACACUAACUGGAAAGAUUUGUUACGAAUUCUUGGCAAAUUAAAUGAUGGCAAAG